This 352-nucleotide unclassified non-coding RNA is filed under the name uncultured Rhizoglomus. RNAcentral's name for it is "partial contains 5.8S ribosomal RNA, internal transcribed spacer 2, and large subunit ribosomal RNA". The stretch from base 1 to 102 matches the Rfam family "5.8S ribosomal RNA", at positions 53 to 154 of the family's 154-position model. The record is from RNAcentral. Lineage: Eukaryota; Fungi; Glomeromycota; Glomeromycetes; Glomerales; Glomeraceae.
GUGCGAUAAGUAGUGUGAAUUGCAGAAUUCCGUGAAUCAUCGAAUUUUUGAACGCAAAUUGCGCUUCCUGGCAUCCCGGGAAGUAUGCCUGUUUGAGGGUCAGUAUUAAUAAAAAAUCGGUUUGGUUACAAAUUGUGACGUUUCCGGAGUUUGGGCUAUCUUAACAUUUUUGGUUAAGAGGCUUAAAAUUGACCUUUUUUGCGCAUUUUUAGACGUACAUAAAUUUUUUUUUAUUCGUCUAUUCAUUCUUAAUGCCAAAAUCUUAUUAGAUGCGAUCACAUCGUGUGGUUUCGUGUCCAUAAAAUUUUCAUGAUUUGACCUCAAAUCAGGUAGGAGCACCCGCUGAACUUAA